This 440-nucleotide ribosomal RNA is filed under the name uncultured bacterium. Its description in RNAcentral is "bacterial SSU rRNA". It matches the Rfam family "Bacterial small subunit ribosomal RNA", at positions 958 to 1398 of the family's 1533-position model. The record is from RNAcentral.
AACGCGAAGAACCUUACCUGGGCUCGAAAUGUAGUGGAAUCGGGUGGAAACAUCCGCGUCUCGCAAGAGACUGCUAUAUAGGUGCUGCAUGGCUGUCGUCAGCUCGUGCCGUGAGGUGUUGGGUUAAGUCCCGCAACGAGCGCAACCCUUAUCAUUAGUUGCCAACACGAGAGGUGGGGACUCUAAUGAGACUGCCUGGGUUAACCAGGAGGAAGGUGAGGAUGACGUCAAGUCCGCAUGGCCUUUAUGUCUGGGGCCACACACGUGCUACAAUGGUCGGUACAGAAGGCAGCGAAACCGUGAGGUGGAGCAAAUCCCUAAAACCGAUCUCAGUUCGGAUUGUAGUCUGCAACUCGACUACAUGAAGUUGGAAUUGCUAGUAAUGGCGUGUCAGCUACAACGCCGUGAAUACGUUCCCGGGCCUUGUACACACCGGAGUA